CCUGUGUGUGUGCCUCUGUAUGUGCCUGUGUGUGUGCAUGUGUGUGUACCUGUGUGUGCCUCUGGGUGUGCCUGUGUGUGCCUGUGCGUGUGGCUGUGCAUAUGUGUGUGUGCCUGUGUGUGUGUACACGUGUAGCUCACAGCCAUUGCUGUGAACUCUGGACCUUGGUGACUUUGCUGUGUCCUUUGCUGUACCCAGCGGUGAUCUCUGUCUCUGUUUUCCUAAAUUUCAUCUCUCGCUAAUAAGUGCUUUGAGUGCUUCUUUUCCAUGUCUAUGUGUGUUCAUGCUCAUUCUACCACCUGUUAUCACUCCUCACUGCUCUCAGCAGACCCCAAAUCGUCAUCUUUUUCAGGAAAUCCUAGAUCAGGAAUAAACCUCAGCAUAUUGAGAAUUGUGUCCUCUGAGUUAGAUAAGAACGAAGAGGAAACAUUAUCCAGAGUUUCAUAACACAGGGUCCAUAGAUGUCUUUAGGAUGGAUAAAAUCAUAUAAAAUCAUAAAUCAUAUGUGAAGUGUGUGUGUGUGAUCAUAUUAUUGAAUGAACCUAGUGAGGUUAAAUAAGAAAAAGUAAAUUUGUUUUUUAUCUCAACAGGAGCACCCCUAAGCUAUGUUCGGCCUUUGUACUGAGAGAGGAAGUUGCAUCUCUGGGUGGACACAGCCUGUGGCUCCUGUUGUACAAAGGGCCAGGCCCAGGAGAAGAAUGGAUUGGAGAAGGGACACCAUGUUUCACAGCUGUGACAUUUGCCAUCGGGCCUCAGGACACCCAAUGGCAGAGGUACCGUUACUGACUUUUGCAUUGAUUGGUGCGUUAGUGUUCUUGGAUGUUCCUCCCCCAGCAUCCUCCAAUGCAUGUCCAUCACUGUGCGUCCUGCUUCUGCAGCCAUCCACUCUUCUCUCUCAGUCUCCGGAACUGCCCUGCCCUCCCUGUGCAGACUCUAAAUGUCAGGGUGUCUUAGCAUCCCCCACACAGUUCAUGUGGAUGAAGUGAAUUUUAGAUGCCCCAAGCCAACUCCCUAGCAUGGGCCCCACAACAGGACACAGAAAACACACACCUGGAAACCAACAUUGCUGGAACUCCUAGUUUGCCAUCAGGUUGACAAAAGAAACCUGUCUUUCACUUUUAAACCUUUCCCAGGGGCAUAUUAAAUACCUGUCCUCACUUUUCCCAGAGUCUGGUGAUGUGUGCAAUAUCCUCUUGAGUUCUCACUUGCCGUUAAGUGAAGGGAAAACAACUCCCCAAGAAAGGUUAGGAAACUGUAAGUCAUGCAGCCUAUGCCAUCAAAAGAAAUCUUCCCCCACCUCCCCCACCUCCAACCCCAGGUCUUUACACGGGCUGGAUGCAAGUGAUGGUGAUGCCAGACAGCCCUUCUCACCUAUUUAGCCAUGCCCUUACCCAGGGGCCCAGCAGAUUCUCAGUGAUGCUGUAAAACCUUUUCAUGCUCCCUUGGUGUGUCUCAGUUUGACUGUCCAGUGGGUGAUGGCAAUCCUAGUGUCAGAAGCAUUUGAACCAGAGCAACUCCAUCUUGAACAGAGGGUGAGUAAAAUGAGGCUGAGACCUACUGGACUGCAUUUCCAGAUGGUUAAGGCAUUCUAAGUCACAGGAUGAGAUAAGAGGUCAGCACAAGAUACAGGUCAUAAAGACUUUGCUGAUAAAACAGUUUGCAGUAAAGUAGCCAGCAGAAACCUUCCAAAACCAAGAUGACCACAAGAGUGACCUCUAGUCUUCCUCUGCUACAUUCCCGCUAGCGCCUUGACAGUUUACAAAUGCCCUGGCAAUGUCAGGAAGUCACCCUAUAUGGUCUAAAAAGGGUAGGCAUGAAUAAUUCAACCCUUGUUUAGCAAAUUAUCAACAAAUAACCAUAAAAAUGGGCAACCAGCAGUCCUUGGGGAUACUGUGUCUAUGGAAUAGCCAUCCUUUUAUUCCUUUACUUUCUUAAUAAACUUGCUUUCACUUUAUGAACUUGUCCUGAAUUCUUUCUUGCAUGAGAUCCAAGAAGCCUCUCUUGCAGUCUGGAUCCAGACCCCUUUCCAGUAACACUAAGAACCCGCUCAUCUUCUCUUGGCAGGUCCUGGCAGGUGGUCCUGAGGAUCCUGCCAGGAAGAGAUGACUACCCCUUGGCAACUCUUGCUUUAUUACUGGCCUUGGGACAUCGUCAGAAUGGAGAUAUUUUGACAUCCCACUGUAUGUGAACAUAUCGAGCAAUGAAUCAGCAUUUACGUCAUCAGCUGGGACAUGACUUCCAAAAGAUCAGAGCCCUUUGCGUUGGCAAGUGCAGCCUAUCUCAUUGAUCUGUGAUAAUUCAUGGGAAAACACACACCUCACUUCACAUCAUCUGUCCUGUGUUUUCCUGUCUCAAUCUUGGAACUCUAAACUAAAAGCUGCCCAGUUACGAUGACCGUGAUGGCCCACAACUAAAUUACAGGGCAUAAGGUUAUCUUAAAGGACAAUGUUUUACGAAGGCCAUGCCAUGCUGGCGUGUGAGAUUGGAGAUGCACUGCCGCAAACUAAGUCCUGGUUCAAAUCAGCAAUCAUUACGUUAGCUUUACACAUUUUGAGAUAUUAAAACACAGAUCAAUGGAUGGAGAAUAACAUUAAAUUUGCCAAAUAUAUAGUUUGAUGAAUUGGCUUCAGAUCCCUACAAAAAGAAAAAGAAAAGUCUGCUGGCGUUAUAUUUUCAUAAUUGAUUUUUUUUUUUUUUUUUGAGAUGGAGUCUUCCUCUGUCACCCAGGCUGGAGUGCAGUGGCAUAAUCUCAGCUCACUGCAACCUCCGCCUCCUGGAUUCAAGCAAUUCUCCUCCCUCAGCCUCCCGAGUAGCUGGAAUUACAGCCAUGAGCCAUCUUGCCUGGCUAAUUUUUCUACUUUUAGUAGACAGGGUUUUGCCAUGUUGGCCAAGCUGGUCUUAAACUCCUGACUUCAAACGAUUUGCCUGCCUUGGCCUCCCAAAGUGCUGAGAUUACAGGCGUGAGCCACCAUGCCCAGCCUAAUAUUUAUUUUUAUUAUUCAGUUGAUUAUAAUGAAUCUUUACCUUUAAUUUGAAGUGAGAAUAUGAUAAUAUGAUAAAAAUAUAUAGAUAUCAUCUUUAUUGUACUGAAUCAACUAAUUGUUUUUAAAGCAGGAUUUAUGCUUUAGAAAAAGAGUAUCCAUGUUCUUUUCUUAAAUUAACCAAGUCCUUGAUACAAAUACUCUCCAAACUCUAUCUUCA
RNAcentral lists this long non-coding RNA (3201 nucleotides) under Macaca mulatta (Rhesus monkey). RNAcentral's name for it is "lncRNA (ENSMMUG00000058840.1)". The record is from RNAcentral. Lineage: Eukaryota; Metazoa; Chordata; Mammalia; Primates; Cercopithecidae.